UCAAAGGGUCACUUUAAUCAAAAUAACCAUUUUCGUCUUUCACGACCGACCCAGUAGCCAAGCUUCAGUCUCAUGGCUUCUACUCCGAGCACGAACCAGACCAUCCAUGGCGAUGACAAUACCGACGUCUCCUACUUUCAGAAAACAGUAUGUUUGAACGAUUGGUGGCUGAUUAAAGCCGAGAAUGAGGUCCAAGGAAAGUGGCUAGCCGUCGCCGGUGUAUCUUCUAGAAAGGAAGGUGCCAGGCGAGUGUUCUCCUCUGCACCAAUAGCCAAAAGAUUCGAUGUUUUCACUCUCGAGACGGUGGAUGGCAUAUGUGUAGCCAUCAAAGGGUUCAUAAACAAGCAGAAGACUACUGAAAAUGGGUUUCCAUCUGAGGUUUUCAGUCAUUUUCUGUUUGGCUUUCCUCCUUACUGGGAACAAUGGGUUGCAAAGUUCUUUGGUGGAGACUCUACCACUACUUGUGCGGUUUCUGGAAGUAUUUCUGAUUCAGACAAGUUAGCUACUCAGCCAGGAAGCAUAAAAAGUUCUAUUCCAUCUUCCUUGCAUUUUGAUCAAGAAGAAACUCCAGUUGAGCGGGUCUCUUGUGAAGAUAGGCAUGAUGUUGAAGUCCCAAAACAGUUUUCUUCUGAGCUGCCUACGAAUGUCGCUGUUGAUGACUUCCCUAAACAUGCUGCUGAGGAGGAAACAGGCAGAGCAAAUAUUGGAGCAAGUGAUUUUCAGUGUAUUGGUAAACCAAUGCAUCUGGUAAGCAAUCAGAAGAAACCGGUAUCCAGAUGCUUUAUGAAGCAUAAAAGUACAAAUUCUAGUCCUGCAUCAGAGGCCUCUGAGAGCCUUGGUGGAGUAUCAGGUGCAACUACUCAGUCUGGGGGGAAAGUGGACAUAUCAGAGGAAUAUGCAAGCUAUUCUGCAGGCAGAGUGACCAGAAGUUUGUCAAGAAAUUUAAGUAGAAAAGGGAAAAAGAAGAAAAUGGUGGGAUGUGGUUUGAACUCUGAGAAAAAUACAGUGGAUUCUGUUCCAGCGGUGUUCAAAACUUUGAGCAAAAGUUUACAAAAUGAUAAUUCUAAAGUAGGAGGGAAAAGUAUGUCCCAUCCUUCAGAUUUUGAGUUUCAAGAACCAAAUGAUUUGAAAGUAAAAAAAAAACUUGAUUUUGGGUGUCUAGAAGAUGAUUUGCAGCAUACUCACAAUGCAAAACAGGGACAGAAUUGUGGAAAUAUUACAACUCAAGUUGGAGGAGAAAGUGAUGCUAAAGAAGAAAACACAUUCAGGAAAAGAACUAAGACAAACACUACCUUUUAUACAAAGGAAAAUCCCACUCUGGAGGUGAACAAGAAAGUGUCUAUUGCUUCUCCUGAAUCUUUGAAUAUGAGACGGUCCAGAAGCGGGAGACUACUUCUACCGACCAUGGAAUUCUGGCGCAAUCAAUUGGCAAUCUAUGACUCGGAUCGUAAGGUUACUGGAAUUCAGGGAGGCCUACCUAUAGUAACAACAUCAAGAGGCAUUAGCUCUGGGUCUCAGAAACGCAACAGACGAUAGAGGUUGAGUUUCUGGCUGAGCUUUAGACUCGUUUCAUACCUCCUGUAAGUAUGGUAUCUAAUACUUGCACACAGGUAACAGCUUGGAAAUAAAGUGAAGAAGCAUAUGGCAAUAAUUUUGUACAGAUUCUACCGCAGAUGAGAGAAAGAGGAUGAGAACUCAUGUCAAGCUGACCUCUACUCAAUUAUAACAAAAUUUUCAAGCUGCAGGAGUACGUAUAGAAGACAUAGAGCUUGGGCUCUUCCCGUCAGAAUCUGCGAUGUGUCUAUUUUUGUUCAUGCUAAUCCUUUUAGCUUAUCCAAGUUCGAAUGUAGCAUUGAAUCCAACUUUACUCUUUGGAGCAUCUAGGUGGUAGUUUUUGCAUAUUUCGGAUGUGUUAUUUUGCUUUUGGUGAUACUGGCUCAACCAUGUUAGGCCAUUUCCAAUCAUAGAGCUAAAUGUAGUUCAUGCUAUAAUUUUAGCCCUCUAAAAUAUUAAUUAAUUUUUCCUUUUGUUUUUUU
Prunus dulcis (almond) is the source of this 2036-nucleotide RNA transcript. It is a transcript of the gene named kinetochore-associated protein KNL-2 homolog, with no coding region annotated. The record is from RefSeq and is a predicted model, not a curated record. NCBI's taxonomy places the organism in Eukaryota, Viridiplantae, Streptophyta, Magnoliopsida, Rosales, Rosaceae. The transcript has 11 exons.